Molecule: long non-coding RNA, 336 nt
Organism: Daucus carota subsp. sativus
Lineage: Eukaryota; Viridiplantae; Streptophyta; Magnoliopsida; Apiales; Apiaceae
Exons: 3
Source: RefSeq, a predicted model, not a curated record
UUCAGAUUUUGGGUAUAAUAUUGAUCUUGAUGUCCUUGAGUUGUUUGUGGAUCUAUAUCUCAAAGACUCAAACAAUGAAGAAGAUGCUCCAAGUUGGCACUAUAGCUUCUCUGAAAUAUAUAUGCUACAAAUUUGAGAAGAAGUAUGCAUUGCUCUCUGACUGGAAUAGAAUCUGUGGUACAAGGGAGUACAAGUGCAAUUGUGGAUCUACCUUCUCUAGGCGUGAUAGUUUAAUCAAUCACCAUUCAAUAUGCCAAGUGUUUGUGGGAGAGGUGGCUAGGCACACAACAAAUUGGCCCCAGCACCAGCAUGACUGCUGGAAUACAUGCAAAUGUU